Molecule: long non-coding RNA, 385 nt
Organism: Saccostrea echinata
Lineage: Eukaryota; Metazoa; Mollusca; Bivalvia; Ostreida; Ostreidae
Exons: 5
Source: RefSeq, a predicted model, not a curated record
GGCAGAGGAGCACCCAGACACCCUGUGAGUCAAGAAAAGAAACAUUCACAGAGGAAUCAAGAUAAAAAAUGUACAGGAACUAGACUUGACAGAAGAAGGUUCCUUUGUUCAGGUGUUUGUGGACCGACCAUUUCUUAUUGAUGGCAGGAAGUUUGACAUUGGAGUGUACACCAUAUUGACAUCUAUAAAUCCACUAAGAGUGUAUACUAUAGAGUCUGAGGCUUCAAUCAGGUUCUGUUCCCAGGAUUAUUAUCCUUUUGAUGCCCGUAACAUCAGCAAGUAUGUGGUGGGAGACGCCUUCACUCCAGUCUGGAAGAUUCCAUCCCUGAAAAAGCUGAAUAGAGAAUUAAAUUUCAGCUUUAAGGGAUCAUUUGAUGCUUAUUUG